RNAcentral lists this non-coding RNA (34 nucleotides) under Prorocentrum micans. Lineage: Eukaryota; Dinophyceae; Prorocentrales; Prorocentraceae. The record is from RNAcentral.
CAUGUUUUUUUUUUUUUUUUUUUUUUUUUUUUUU